RNAcentral lists this small RNA (23 nucleotides) under Arabidopsis thaliana (thale cress). RNAcentral's name for it is "ATSL116180". The record is from RNAcentral. Lineage: Eukaryota; Viridiplantae; Streptophyta; Magnoliopsida; Brassicales; Brassicaceae.
GUUUUUUUCUUCUUCUUUUUCAU